UGCGUCAUGACUUGUAUCGUCUUGAGCGUAUUGUGGGUUUCCUGUGUUGCAUACCUUUCUAAUGGUAUCGAUUUGAUUGAUCGAAGUCCCUUUUCAUCUUGUGUUGCCUUUGUGAUGCAUGAUGAACCUUGAGGCGGUCUCUAUGUUCCACAACGUUGAUGCUAGUGUUUUGAUGUUGUGGCCCAUUGAGCGUUGCCUGGUUUCGUGGAUACAGAACAUGAUUUGGGCAUAGGGUUACUUGUGACUCUUGUUUUGUCCUUUAUCRGUGUUCUUUAUAACGACGGUUCAUGCGCGCCUAGGCUCGUACCUGCGCGAUGUUCUUUGUCGAAGAGGAAUGCUACCUGGUUGAUCCUGCCAGUAG
RNAcentral lists this unclassified non-coding RNA (361 nucleotides) under Senecio incrassatus. RNAcentral describes it as "partial contains external transcribed spacer and 18S ribosomal RNA". The record is from RNAcentral. Lineage: Eukaryota; Viridiplantae; Streptophyta; Magnoliopsida; Asterales; Asteraceae.